RNAcentral lists this ribosomal RNA (479 nucleotides) under uncultured bacterium. RNAcentral's name for it is "bacterial SSU rRNA". It matches the Rfam family "Bacterial small subunit ribosomal RNA", at positions 28 to 502 of the family's 1533-position model. The record is from RNAcentral.
GAUGAACGCUAGCGGCAGGCCUAACACAUGCAAGUCGAGGGGCAGCACAGGUAGCAAUACUGGGUGGCGACCGGCGGAUGGGUGCGUAACGCGUAUGCAACCUACCAUUGAUUGGGGCAUAGCCCGAAGAAAUUCGGAUUAAUACUCCAUAAUAUUCAUCAAAGGCAUCUUUUAUGAAUUAAAGCUUUUGCGAUCAAUGAUGGGCAUGCGUGACAUUAGUUAGUUGGUGAGGUAACGGCUCACCAAAACGAUGAUGUCUAGGGGUUCUGAGAGGAUUAUCCCCCACACUGGUACUGAGACACGGACCAGACUCCUACGGGAGGCAGCAGUGAGGAAUAUUGGUCAAUGGGCGCAAGCCUGAACCAGCCAUCCCGCGUGAAGGAAGAAUGCGCUACGCGUUGUAAACUUCUUUUCCAGGGGAGAAUAAAUCCUGUCGUGACAGGACUUGACGGUACUCUGGGAAUAAGCAUCGGCUAACU